This 238-nucleotide ribosomal RNA is filed under the name uncultured microorganism. Its description in RNAcentral is "partial 16S ribosomal RNA". It matches the Rfam family "Bacterial small subunit ribosomal RNA", at positions 9 to 229 of the family's 1533-position model. The record is from RNAcentral.
GAGUUUGAUCUUGGCUCAGGAUGAACGCUGGCGGCGUGCUUAACACAUGCAAGUCGAACGAAGCACUGGAGAACGAAUCUUCGGAGGAAGUCUCCUUUGACUGAGUGGCGGACGGGUGAGUAACGCGUGGGUAACCUGCCUCACACAGGGGGAUAACAGUUGGAAACGACCGCUAAUACCGCAUAAGCCGGAAGGAUCGCAUGAUCCGGCCGGAAAAGAUUUAUCGGUGUGAGAUGGA